GGAUUCGAUUUAGCCAUGCUAGUCGCACGAGUUCAGACUCGUGGCGAAUAGCUCAGUAACACGUGGCCAAACUACCCUUCGGAACACAAUACCCUCGGGAAACUGAGGCUAAUAGUGUAUACCGCAUCACACCUGGAAUGAGUGAUGCGCCAAACGCUCCGGCGCCGAAGGAUGUGGCUGCGGCCGAUUAGGUAGACGGUGGGGUAACGGCCCACCGUGCCAAUAAUCGGUACGGGUCAUGAGAGUGAGAACCCGGAGACGGAAUCUGAGACAAGAUUCCGGGCCCUACGGGGCGCAGCAGGCGCGAAACCUUUACACUGCACGACAGUGCGAUAAGGGAAUCCCAAGUGCGUAGGCAUAGAGCCUACGCUUUUGUCCACCGUAGGGAGGUGGACGAAUAAGGGCUGGGCAAGACCGGUGCCAGCCGCCGCGGUAAUACCGGCAGCCCGAGUGAUGGCCGAUCUUAUUGGGCCUAAAGCGUCCGUAGCUGGCCGCGCAAGUCUAUCGGAAAAUCCACCCGCUCAACGGGUGGGCGUCCGGUAGAAACUGCGUGGCUUGGGACCGGAAGGCGCGACGGGUACGUCCGGGGUAGGAGUGAAAUCCUGUAAUCCUGGACGGACCGCCGAUGGCGAAAGCACGUCGCGAAGACGGAUCCGACAG
RNAcentral lists this ribosomal RNA (660 nucleotides) under Halorubrum aidingense. Its description in RNAcentral is "bacterial SSU rRNA". It matches the Rfam family "Archaeal small subunit ribosomal RNA", at positions 36 to 697 of the family's 1478-position model. Lineage: Archaea; Methanobacteriati; Methanobacteriota; Halobacteria; Halobacteriales; Haloferacaceae. The record is from RNAcentral.